This 702-nucleotide ribosomal RNA is filed under the name uncultured bacterium. RNAcentral's name for it is "bacterial SSU rRNA". It matches the Rfam family "Bacterial small subunit ribosomal RNA", at positions 63 to 746 of the family's 1533-position model. The record is from RNAcentral.
CGUGCGAGAAGGAGGCUUCGGUCUCUGAGUAGAGCGGCGCACGGGUGAGUAACGCGUGGAUGAUCUACCCUUGAGUUCGGGAUAACGGUGCGAAAGCGCCGCUAAUACCGUAUAACAAUCCAUUUCAUCGUGGGUUCAAAGCAGGCCUCUUCAUGAAAGCUUGCGCUUGGGGAUGAGUCCGCGUCCCAUUAGCUUGUUGGCGGGGUAACGGCCCACCAAGGCAACGAUGGGUAGCUGGUCUGAGAGGAUGAUCAGCCACACUGGAACUGAAACACGGUCCAGACUCCUACGGGAGGCAGCAGUGGGGAAUAUUGCGCAAUGGGGGAAACCCUGACGCAGCGACGUCGUGUGAGGGAAGAAGGCCUUCGGGUCGUAAACCUCUGUCAGAAGGGAAGAACAUCCGGGAGUCGAACAGCCUCCCGGCCUGACGGUACCUUCAGAGGAAGCGCCGGCUAACUCCGUGCCAGCAGCCGCGGUAAUACGGAGGGCGCAAGCGUUAAUCGGAAUCACUGGGCGUAAAGCGUGCGUAGGCUGCUUGAUAAGUCAGACGUGAAAUCCCUCGGCUCAACCGGGGAACUGCGUUUGAUACUGUCGAGCUAGAGUCCUGGAGAGGGUGGCGGAAUUCCUGGUGUAGGAGUGAAAUCCGUAGAUAUCAGGAGGAACACCGGUGGCGAAGGCGGCCACCUGGACAGGUACUGACGC